AGCGAACGUUAGCGGCACGCUUAACACAUGCAAGUCGCACGAGAAAGGGAGCAAUCCUGAGUAAAGUGGCGCACGGGUGCGUAACACGUAGAUAACCUGCCCUUCGAAGGGGGAUAACGUUCCGAAAGGAGCGCUAAUACCGCAUAAAGCCGAGUUUGGUUUGCCAGAUUCGGGCAAAGGUAGGGACCGGCAACGGCCUAUCGUCGAAGGAGGGGUCUGCGGCCCAUCAGCUAGUUGGUAAGGUAAUGGCUUACCAAGGCAGAGACGGGUAGCUGGUCUGAGAGGAUGAUCAGCCACACUGGUACUGGAACACGGACCAGACUCCUACGGAGGCAGCAGUGGGGAAUCUUGGUCAAUGGGCGCAAGCCUGAACCAGCGAUGCCGCGUGAGUGAUGAAGGCCUUCGGGUUGUAAAGG
RNAcentral lists this ribosomal RNA (416 nucleotides) under uncultured bacterium. RNAcentral describes it as "bacterial SSU rRNA". It matches the Rfam family "Bacterial small subunit ribosomal RNA", at positions 29 to 431 of the family's 1533-position model. The record is from RNAcentral.